Molecule: RNA transcript, 513 nt
Organism: Rhinopithecus roxellana (golden snub-nosed monkey)
Lineage: Eukaryota; Metazoa; Chordata; Mammalia; Primates; Cercopithecidae
Gene: HDGFL2
Gene name: HDGF like 2
Exons: 3
Source: RefSeq, a predicted model, not a curated record
GGUGAAGGAGAAGGCUGGCCGGGAGGAGCUGGCUGGGGAGGAGGUCCCCCAGGAGAAGGCGGAAGACAAGCCCAGCACCGAUCUCUCAGCCCCGGUGAAUGGCGAGGCCACGUCGCAGAAGGGGGAGAGUGCGGAGGACAAGGAGCACGAGGAGGGUCGGGACUCGGAGGAGGGGCCGAGGUGUGGUUCCUCUGAAGACCUGCACGACAGCCUACGGGAGGGCCCCGACCUGGACAGGCCUGGGAGUGACCGGCAGGAGCGCGAGAGGGCACGGGGGGACUCGGAGGCCCUGGACGAGGAGAGCUGAGCCGUGGGCAGCCAGGCCCAGCCCCCGCCCGAGCUCAGGCUGCCCCUCCUUCCCCGGCUCACUGGAGAGCAGAGUGGAGAACUGUGGGGAACGCCGCGCUGUUUCUAUUUGUUCCCUUGGGUUUUUUUUUUCUGCCUAAUUUCUGUGAUUUCCAACCACCAUGAAAUGACUAUAAAGGGUUUUUUAAUGAAAAAAGAAAUCACAUU